CCCUACGGGGGGCAGCAGUUGGGAAUAUUGGACAAUGGAGGAAACUCUGAUCCAGUGACGCCGCGUGAAGGAAGAAGGUCUUCGGAUUGUAAACUUAUUUUAUCAGGGAAGAAAAAAAUGACUGUACCUGAGUAAGAAGCACCGGCUAAAUACGUGCCGGCAGCCGCGGUAAUACGUAUGGUGCAAGCGUUAUCCGGAUUUACUGGGUGUAAAGGGAGCGCAGGCGGUGCGGCAAGUCUGAUGUGAAAGCCCGGGGCUCAACCCCGGGACUGCAUUGGAAACUACCGAACUAGAGUGUCGGAGAG
Molecule: ribosomal RNA, 305 nt
Filed under: uncultured bacterium
Lineage: Bacteria
Description: bacterial SSU rRNA
Rfam family: Bacterial small subunit ribosomal RNA
Source: RNAcentral